RNAcentral lists this ribosomal RNA (467 nucleotides) under uncultured bacterium. Its description in RNAcentral is "partial 16S ribosomal RNA". It matches the Rfam family "Bacterial small subunit ribosomal RNA", at positions 29 to 507 of the family's 1533-position model. The record is from RNAcentral.
ACGAACGCUGGCGGCGUGCUUAACACAUGCAAGUCGAACGGAAAGGCCCUGCUUUUGUGGGGUGCUCGAGUGGCGAACGGGUGAGUAACACGUGAGUAACCUGCCCUUGACUUUGGGAUAACUUCAGGAAACUGGGGCUAAUACCGGAUAGGAGCUCCUGCUGCAUGGUGGGGGUUGGAAAGUUUCGGCGGUUGGGGAUGGACUCGCGGCUUAUCAGCUUGUUGGUGGGGUAGUGGCUUACCAAGGCUUUGACGGGUAGCCGGCCUGAGAGGGUGACCGGCCACCUUGGGACUGAGAUACGGCCCAGACUCCUACGGGAGGCAGCAGUGGGGAAUAUUGCACAAUGGGCGGAAGCCUGAUGCAGCAACGCCGCGUGCGGGAUGACGGCCUUCGGGUUGUAAACCGCUUUCGCCUGUGACGAAGCGUGAGUGACGGUAAUGGGUAAAGAAGCACCGGCUAACUACGUG